UACGGAGGGUGCAAGCGUUAUCCGGAUUCACUGGGUUUAAAGGGUGCGUAGGCGGACUAUUAAGUCAGUGGUGAAAGCCCCAGCUUAACUUGGGAACUGCCAUUGAUACUGAUGGUCUUGAGUACAUUUGAGGUGGGCGGAAUGUGUCAUGUAGCGGUGAAAUGCUUAGAUAUGAACACAGAACACCGAUUGCGAAGGCAG
RNAcentral lists this ribosomal RNA (201 nucleotides) under uncultured bacterium. RNAcentral's name for it is "partial 16S ribosomal RNA". It matches the Rfam family "Bacterial small subunit ribosomal RNA", at positions 524 to 724 of the family's 1533-position model. The record is from RNAcentral.